GGGCGUGUAGCUCAGUGGUAGAGCUCUGGUUUUACACACCAGCGGUCGCAGGUUCGAUACCUGUCGCGCCCACCA
RNAcentral lists this transfer RNA (75 nucleotides) under Mycobacterium sp. RNAcentral describes it as "tRNA-Val". It matches the Rfam family "tRNA". From Rfam's summary of the family: Transfer RNA (tRNA) molecules are approximately 80 nucleotides in length. Their secondary structure includes four short double-helical elements and three loops (D, anti-codon, and T loops). Further hydrogen bonds mediate the characteristic L-shaped molecular structure. tRNAs have two regions of fundamental functional importance: the anti-codon, which is responsible for specific mRNA codon recognition, and the 3' end, to which the tRNAs corresponding amino acid is attached (by aminoacyl-tRNA synthetases). tRNAs cope with the degeneracy of the genetic code in two manners: having more than one tRNA (with a specific anti-codon) for a particular amino acid; and 'wobble' base-pairing, i.e. permitting non-standard base-pairing at the 3rd anti-codon position. RNAcentral also lists the same sequence under 7 other names. The record is from RNAcentral. Lineage: Bacteria; Bacillati; Actinomycetota; Actinomycetes; Mycobacteriales; Mycobacteriaceae.